AAGAUCUAAAUCGACAAUUUUGUGUGAGUGGAAUGAGCUACCAUUCACUAACUGUGUCUGUUGCACAAUGGAUGUCCACUCUGUCUGCCUAAUUACCCAAGCCAAAACAAAUUGUAACAGAUCUAGUCUAGUCAGAGGAUAGCAAUAGGCCCUCACUCCCCCUCUCCCUUAACGUUACGUAUCAGUUUAGAGCAGUGCAGAUUCUUUCUCUGGUGUCUGGAUUGCUUUGAUUUGCUGGUUUAGCGAAGGGGCGAAGGUAGGUCUGAGGCAGAAAACUGAUUUAGAAACACUAGUACCUCAAUUA
Long non-coding RNA from Cyprinus carpio (common carp), 304 nucleotides. RefSeq lists it as uncharacterized. The record is from RefSeq and is a predicted model, not a curated record. NCBI's taxonomy places the organism in Eukaryota, Metazoa, Chordata, Actinopteri, Cypriniformes, Cyprinidae. The transcript is spliced from 2 exons.